GAUGAACGCUGGCGGUAUGCUUAACACAUGCAAGUCGAACGGACUCUUCGGAGUUAGUGGCGGACGGGUGAGUAACGCGUGAGAAUCUGGCUUUGGGUUCGGGACAACCACUGGAAACGGUGGCUAAUACCGGAUGUGCCGAGAGGUAAAAGAGAAAUUGCCUGAAGAUGAGCUCGCGUCUGAUUAGCUAGUUGGUGAGGUAAAGGCUCACCAAGGCAGCGAUCAGUAGCUGGUCUGAGAGGAUGACCAGCCACACUGGGACUGAGACACGGCCCAGACUCCUACGGGAGGCAGCAGUGGGGAAUGUUCCGCAAUGGGCGAAAGCCUGACGGAGCAAUACCGCGUGAGGGAAGAAGGCUCUUGGGUUGUAAACCUCUUUUCUUAGGAAAGAACAAAAUGACGGUACCUAAGGAAUCAGCAUCGGCUAACUCCGUG
Molecule: ribosomal RNA, 435 nt
Filed under: uncultured bacterium
Lineage: Bacteria
Description: partial 16S ribosomal RNA
Rfam family: Bacterial small subunit ribosomal RNA
Source: RNAcentral